Molecule: long non-coding RNA, 249 nt
Filed under: Carica papaya (papaya)
Lineage: Eukaryota; Viridiplantae; Streptophyta; Magnoliopsida; Brassicales; Caricaceae
Description: long non-coding RNA (CPAP_LNC016627)
Source: RNAcentral
UAAAUAUCUAAUAAAGCACAUAGUCACUUGUAGAAAUUGAACUAAUCAUCCUCCCUAUUUCAUCAUCAACUUGAGUAAAGAGAUCUAUUUGCUAUUUGAAUAAAUGCUAACUCCUAUUUCUCAUAUUUGUUUGACGACAUCCUAAAAAGUUCAAAUUUUCACAGAAUACUAUAAAAUAAAAAAGAGAGUUUGAAAAAAAAGACAUGCCUCCUUACACAACUUUCUCUUCAGCAUGGUGAAUUGAUAAGC